AGCGAACGCUGGCGGCAGGCCUAACACAUGCAAGUCGAACGAACCUUUCGGGGUUAGUGGUGGACGGGUGAGUACCACGUGGGAACGUGCCUUUAGGUUCGGAAUAACUCAGGGAAACUUGUGCUAAUACCGAAUGUGCCCUUCGGGGGAAAGAUUUAUCGCCUUUAGAGCGGCCCGCGUCUGAUUAGCUAGUUGGUUGAGGUAAUGGCUCACCAAGGCGACGAUCAGUAGCUGGUCUGAGAGGAUGAUCAGCCACAUUGGGACUGAGACACGGCCCAAACUCCGACGGGAGGCAGCAGUGGGGAAUCUUGCGCAAGGGGCGAAAGCCUGACGCAGCCAUGCCGCGUGAAUGAUGAAGGUCUUAGGAUUGUAAAAUUCUUUCACCGGGGACGAUAAUGACGGUACCCGGAGAAGAAGCCCCGGCUAACUUCGUG
Molecule: ribosomal RNA, 434 nt
Filed under: uncultured bacterium
Lineage: Bacteria
Description: partial 16S ribosomal RNA
Rfam family: Bacterial small subunit ribosomal RNA
Source: RNAcentral